GCAAACUUGGUCAUUUAGAGGAAGUAAAAGUCGUAACAAGGUCUCCGUAGGUGAACCUGCGGAGGGAUCAUUAACGAACGGUCGACAGACCUUCAAACCCUUCAAACCAUGUGGAAAAAGACUGUGCUUCGGCGCUUGACGCGCCGCUUUUAUGCAAGAUCAAAAUGCUUUGUGUCUGAGCUUAAAACAAGAACAAAAAACUUUCAACAAAGGAUCUCUUGGCUCUCGCAUCGAUGAAGAACGCAGC
RNAcentral lists this unclassified non-coding RNA (247 nucleotides) under uncultured fungus. RNAcentral's name for it is "partial contains small subunit ribosomal RNA, internal transcribed spacer 1, and 5.8S ribosomal RNA". The stretch from base 1 to 73 matches the Rfam family "Eukaryotic small subunit ribosomal RNA", at positions 1759 to 1831 of the family's 1831-position model. The record is from RNAcentral. Lineage: Eukaryota; Fungi.